Molecule: transfer RNA, 99 nt
Filed under: Winogradskya consettensis
Lineage: Bacteria; Bacillati; Actinomycetota; Actinomycetes; Micromonosporales; Micromonosporaceae
Description: Actinoplanes consettensis tRNA-Ser
Source: RNAcentral
GGCCUUGAUGACCAGCCGGGGGGCAUGGGUCCAUGCCUGCUGUGCAUGGGUAGCGGCGAUCCACAACACGAUCGCGUCGGUCGUCUCGGUGCUGGGCAG